This 475-nucleotide ribosomal RNA is filed under the name Parvimonas sp. canine oral taxon 102. Its description in RNAcentral is "bacterial SSU rRNA". It matches the Rfam family "Bacterial small subunit ribosomal RNA", at positions 9 to 467 of the family's 1533-position model. The record is from RNAcentral. Lineage: Bacteria; Bacillati; Bacillota; Tissierellia; Tissierellales; Peptoniphilaceae.
GAGUUUGAUUAUGGCUCAGGACGAACGCUGGCGGCGUGCUUAACACAUGCAAGUCGAACGUGAUUUUUGUGAAAAUUCUUUCGGGAAUGGAAGCGAAAUGAAAGUGGCGAACGGGUGAGUAACACGUGAGCAACCUACCUUACACAGGGGGAUAGCCGUUGGAAACGACGAUUAAUACCGCAUGAGACCACAGUAUCGCAUGGUAUAGGGGUCAAAGAUUUAUCGGUGUAAGAUGGGCUCGCGUCUGAUUAGCUAGUUGGAAGGGUAAAGGCCUACCAAGGCGACGAUCAGUAGCCGGUCUGAGAGGAUGAACGGCCACAUUGGAACUGAGACACGGUCCAAACUCCUACGGGAGGCAGCAGUGGGGAAUAUUGCACAAUGGGGGGAACCCUGAUGCAGCGACGCCGCGUGAGCGAAGAAGGUUUUCGAAUCGUAAAGCUCUGUCCUAUGAGAAGAUAAUGACGUUCNGGGAGCC